ACAAGUGUUUGGUUCCUCCACCACAACUCUAGAAUUCCCGUAUGGCUGAUAGUGCGAAUUCGCAAAGGAAGAAUGAUAUUGGUACGGGUAGUUCAUAUGCGUAACUGGAAAGGCAACAAUUUCAGCCGGUUUAGCCGUAUCAGGUUUAGCUGGAGCCGGUUUCGCCGGCUCAGGCUUUUUCUCAGGUGGUUUAACAACUUCAACCGAAACAAUUUCUGCAUUACACAGUUUCCUUAGCUUCAUCACGAGAACCGGUGUAUCAACUUCUCCAACUACUGUCAUUUUCCCUGUUUUGUCAUCCAUUGUUAUCGAAGUAACCCCUUGAGAUCGAGAGACGGUCACAAACGCUUUCUUCCUGAUUCUCUCAUCGUGGACACUCAAUUGCAACACAGCUUUCUGUAAUUUCAAACUUGAGAUCAGUAUGGUUAUAAUUGUAUAUUUAUGAAAUAAGUUUGACUAAAUGGUUUAUAUAUAUAACGAUCAAUCAAAGAUCAUUAAGUUAAAUAUAAUUAUUUUCAGAUAGAAAAAAUAUGAAAGAAAAGGAUACCUUAGCGGUCAUGGCUGAAGAAUACUAGAGUAAAGCUUGAGAAAUUUCCGAUAUAUUUAUCAAAGAAAGAACGAUAUGAGGUAUGGCUUGCGUCUUGCGAUGUUGAACCUUCUUGAUGAUAUAUUUAUUAAAGAAAGAACGAGAUGAGGUAUGGUUUGAGAUGUUGAACCUUCUUGAUGACAAUUGCAAGCAAUAAGAUAUCCAUUAUAUAGAAAUUGCAUAGGAAACUACUAGGAAUCUAAUACUAUGACCCACAUAGUUUUUUCUAUUUUUAAAUAACAAAAAAGCAUUUGUCCAAAAAAAAAAAUAAUAAUAAUAACAAAAAAGCAUUGCGACGACUAUUAAAAGAGUAACGGAGUCAAUCUUUAUUUAACUUAUAGCUAGUAUUGUUUCUGGUAUGUGGUUGAAAAGUAAAAUAAAUCCAACGACGCAACGACGAAAGCAACGGGAGAAGUGUUGACUGCUCAUUUGGUCGCUUAUACGACCUUGUCGACGUUGAUUUGUGACCUUGUUGACCUAUUUGGUCAUGGACAAGUUCUUAAGAUUUUGUUCAAGAGAUCAGUUUUAUAACAUCCAAACGAACACUGGAUACUGGAAUCAAACUGAGAUUGACGUCACAAACGCAAAUAUUCCAAAAAAAAAUUAAUGAUCUUGGAUUUUAAUUUGUGUUUGGUUAAUUAGAUAUUUUGCUUAUUCAUUAUGAGAAAACAUAAAUCCAGGAUAUACUAUAGAGUAAGAUUAUUGUUUAUUUUAUAUUUUACUUUGAUAAAAAUUUAUGAUAAACUGUUACACAUAUGAUCUAUCUUAUUAAAAGAAAAUCAACAUAUUGAAAUAAUUUUACAAUUACGUGGGGUAUAUUAUGAAAAUGCCACUGAUUUAUAACGAGAAAAUGGACUUUUAAAUCUCCAACUAUUUGAAAUCAGCAUUUUUAAUACCCAACUAUUACUUGCGCAGAUUUAAUCUCGAAGUCAUUGUUGACUGCGCAAAAUUAGACUUAAAAAAGUCAAACGUUAAUUCUAAACAUAAACGUUAACUGAAAUAAAAAAAGUGAUCAAGUUUGGCUUUUAAAACCCAAUCCCUAAAAUUGUUUCACUUUAUGCGACUCCGAGUGAGAGGAAGUGAUUCACGGCGACUGAAUAAUAAACAAGUGUACUUCCGGUGAGAGGAUGGUGAAAACCUACUUUGGAACUAGUGGUAGAAGUUGGGAAUUUUUUUUUAUUUGAAGAUCAUCCAGAAUUUCAAUUCCGAUAGAGAGUGAAAGGUAAACGAAUAAGCUUUGUUGAAUCAUGUCCGAGUUCCAAAGUAGGUUUUUACCAUCCACUCACCGGAAGUACAUUUGUUUAAUCUUUGGUCACCGUGAAUCGCUUCUUUUCACUUAGAAUCGCAUAAAAAAAUCGAUUUCAGGGAUUUUAGAGUUUUGAAAGCCAAACUCGAUCCCUUUUCUAAUUACAAUUAACGUUUUUGUCUAGUAAUUAACGUUUAACAUUUGUAAGUCUAAUUUUGCGCAGUCAACUAAUGACUUCGGGAUUAAAUAUCCGCAAGUGAUAGUUGAGUAUUAAAAAUAAUGGUUUCAAAUAGUUGGAGAUUUAAAAGUACAUUUUUGAGAUUUAUAACUAUGACUUGAGUUUUCUUUAAUGGUAGUUUGGUCAUUUUAAUACAAUGCACCAAUGCACAUUAGAUUAUUCUACCACUAAAUAAUAUCUUUUAUUUUUUUCUAUAUUUAUGCUUUACUAUAACAAAAUAUUAGUUAAAAUGUUUUUUUUCAAAUAACAAACUAUUCACAAUUAUUAUCAAAAUACUAUUAAUAAAUAUUGAUUCAGUUUUUCUUGCUUUAAAAAAUGAAAAUAAAAUAUUUUUUAUGAUAUUUAAAUUAUCAAAUGGAUCAAAAAAUAUUUUCAAUAUUUAGUAAUUUUAACAAGCAAUUAUUAUAAUAAAUUAUAAAAUUUGAUAAAUUGAGCAUACUGUAAAUUUAAAAUCCAAUAGUUUUGCCUUAAACAGACGCUGCUAUCACCAAAAAAAAAAAAAAACUGGCCAACACAUAAACAGAAAUAAAGUUAAAUAUUUAAAUUUUAGUAAGUUAAAUUUGCUAGGUAAUUGUUAUGCGAUUUAUAAGCGUAUGUAAGAAUCUAGUCUAUAAUGAGUCUUAGAACUUUCAAGUCUAGUAAUAUUGGUUUAUAAAUUCUCACAUUCUCAUUAAAAUCUAGUGUUACUGGUUUGAUGAUUCUAUAAUUUUAUACAAAAUUAUUUGUUAUUCAAAAAUUUAACAUUUAAAUGAUUCUACAAUUCUAUUAAAAUAAGUGUUAUUGGGAGUUGAAUUUUUAUUAUUUUAACUCACAAAACAAGAUUUUGAGAAUACUACAUGUUUCCCUUGAAUUUUUAAAAUCAUUACAUUAUUUUAUUUUAAUAUAUUUUCACAAUAUACAAAAUUCUCUACAAUUCUUUCCCAAUUUAACAAAUCUCUCAACUUUUAAAAUCAACAAACUCAAUAGAAAUCUAAGUCCCACUAACACCCCCUUAAAAUAGAAGUCAUGACUUCUUUCAUGUGUGAUUUUUUAUUUGGACCAUUCCUAGAAAAUUAAAUAUAUUUUACAUAACUUAAUUAUAAUAUCUUUUAAUAUUUUAUUUUAUUUGAAUUACUAUUAAAUCUUAAAGAAAUGUCUAACAAAAUAUUUCAAAUAUAUUUUUAGAAUCUUUUUAAAAUAUAUUUUAGAAAUUAGUUAAUUAAAAUUUUAAUUAUCACAAAGUAUAAUUAGAAACUAAAUUUUAAUUUAGUUUUGAUUGUAAACAAAAUAAUAAUUAUAUAAAAUAUUUUAACAAUAUUUUAAUAAUGAUAAAAAUUUUAAAUUGAUUUAAUUUUCAAAACUAAAUUUAAGAAAUAUUUUAAAAGAUGUUUUUUAAAAGAAAUGUUCAUUAUAUAUCUAAUUUAAAAGUAAAAAUAUUUUAUUUAUUUAGCAUAUAAAUUAUGACUUAUUUCAUAUGCGAUUUUUUUCAAUUUAGACCAUUUAAAAGUCAUACCUUUAGAUGUUUAAUUCAAUUAAUUUACACCUCCCUUCAUAGAUGAAACAUUUGAUCUUUAUUCAUGUCGUAUAUAUAAAACUUCAGUCUACUGUUUUUAACGUUUGUGUAUUCUCCUGAGUUAAAAAUUAAUUCAGUUUAUUAUUUAAACAACUAUACAAAAUGGUUUAAUUAAUCAGUAUAUACCAAAUUCUCUAUUAUGUAAGUUCAACUUAAUUUGAUUUCCACAUAUAUUUUAAAUUUAGAAAUAAAACAAAAAUUAUGUAAAUCAGUAUUGUUAAAUAAUAAUGUUUUCAAAAUAAAUUUUGUUUACAAAAAUAAAAAAUUUAGAAAUUUUAUAGUAAUAAUAUUAUACGCCACACAAAUAUUAUUAUAAAAUUAGAUAAUAUAUAACACCAAAUUAUAUUAAUCUACUUAUAUAUUUUAUUGUAUAACAUACAAUAUUUGAUUAUUAGAAAAAAAUUACAGGUCGUGAAGGUCAAGAUCUAGUCUACUCUAUUAAAAUAGAGUCUUAUUUUAUAUAUGCUUAUAAAAGUUGUCAUUUAAUUUUGGACUUAUGUAUAUCUUAUUAGAACAAAAUAUAAUAACCCCUAUAAUUCAGAUGAACUGAAUAUAACAAUCCCAACAAUUCGGAUGGAAAUUUUUUGUAUAUGAAAAUUUCAACUAUUCAAUGUCAUUAAUCACUAUGAAAACUUACCAAAUUAUUAUAUAUCACCGACUCAACGUAUCAGACUAACAAAGCAAAAUUUCGUAUAAUUAUAUAGCUAAACCGAUUCUAACUAUUGACCCAACAAUCCCAUACGGGUAUGGCUAUGGUUGAUAUGCAAAUGACACUAAAAUUUUAAUCUCACAUUCAGUUAUAUAUACUUUACAAGUUUUGUAUAGUACGGUUUUGUGAAUUUUAUAUUGUAUUAUAUUUUAUAUAACAGUUAUAUUUGAAUUUCAUUCAUUUAUAUAUACAUGUGUUUUUAUAAAAUCACAUAUAUUUAUUGAUGAAUCAUUCAUUCUAUUUCAUAUACCAAAACUGAACUCCAUAAUUUAUAAAUUUUGUGGCAUAUUAUCUAUACUACUAAAGCAAAAUACCUCCUAAGAUUUUGCCCAUAGUUUAACACUAUAAUUACAAUUCUAUGCCGUUAAGAGAAUAUUCUGAUAUUAAUGAUGGACCCAUUAAAAAUCGUUAAAACAAGAAAAAUAAAAAAUAAAAAAAACACGGGACCUACCUAAAAUAUUUAUCGGAAAGAAGAAGAAACAAAUUGAUCAAUCUAUAAUUAGUGUCCGCUGCAAAAAGGAAAUUAAUCUAUUCUAAUAUUCACCUCUACUAAUUAAAUCAAUAAGUAUAAACAAUUCAAAACCUAUAAAAUUCACUGAUGAGUACAAACAACACGACUAUGGAGGUUGGGAUGUAGCUUUAAAAUCUAUGCUAUAAAAUUUAGUUUAUAAUUUUUUUUUUUGUAGAUGUAUCAGUUAUAGCUGUAAAAAUUAAAUAGAUUAAUACAAUGGUAGGAAUAGUUCUAGAAAAUAUCAAAACUGUAAAUAGAUUAUCUUAUAUAAGAAUACAUAAUCUUAUAAAUUUUAAAAAGAAACAAAUUCUGCGUUUUAAAAGCGCGGAUCAGAAUCUAAUUAUAAUUAAACCAAAGUUCAGUCAGAUUCGCAACACUGCGAGGAAAGAUCGUGAAAUGGGCACUAUUGGACCCUAAAGAUCAUCCUUAUAUGAUUUAAAGUUCAUUCGAGUAAAACAGUGUGACAAGCAUACAUGUCUUUGUGUAUAUAUAUAUACUAGGAUAAGACCUGCAUAAAUUUAUAUGAAAAUUAUUUAAGAAAUAUCGUAUGAAAAAAAAUUCAUAGUAUUGAUCGAAUUAAUAUAUUUGGCUCUUAAACAAUUUUUUAAAACCUUUUUUAAUUAUAUAAUUUGUUUAGUAAUGAACUGAUCCCAUUUUUAAAAAUAUUUUAGGUCAAAAAAUUAUUUAUCGCAUAAAAACCUAACUUUUAGGCCGAAGAAUCUCAUGCCUACUAUUUGGUUACAAUGAAACUAUGUCAGUUCGGUUUUAUAUCAUGAUUUAGCAAUUUAAAAGUUAAUUAUGGUUAUGAAAAGUUUACGUUCACGUGCCAAUCCUAUCUAUAUUCGAUAUUUUUCUCAUUUUUGUGUCGUUUUGGUUAUUGCUCGAUAUAAAUAUUGAUUUUUGAGUUUUUCUCAUUUUUUUUCUUUUAUAUUGGUCUGAGAUUUAGAAAAUGUUUAAGAUUCAAAAUUAUUAAAGAGAUACAUACUUAGGUUAAGAUCUGCGCUUUGUGCAGAAUAAAUACUUAUUUUAUAUUUUUUUCUGCAUAUUAUGAAAUAAUAAAAUAAUAUUUAUAUAUUAAAUAACUAAGAAAUUAGUUACUAUUAUGUAAUAAAUUGGCUUGUACAUAUAAAUCAAAUGACCGUUCUUGUUUAUUCGCAAUCAUUUUAGAAUAAAUAAAUCAAAACAAUCAAUCUUAUCUAUCGUAUAUGAUAUAUAAUUAAAUUUAAACGACAUGAAGUAUAUAUAUAUUAACAUAAACACCUAUUAAAAUAAAAUUAUUUAUUUAUAUGAUUUUAUUAUCAUUGUAUCUUACUAUAGAAAAAAAUUUAAACAUUGAUCACAAAAGUUUAUGUGAGACUUUUAACAGUUUUAGUUAUUUAUACUCGUUUUGAAAAAUUCAAAAUACAACAUAUACAAGAAAAUCUAAAAUUUUAAUAUAUGAUCAAUGUAAUUGUGUAAUUUAUUUAAAUAGUAAAGAAUUAAACAAAAAUGAUAGAAAACAUACAGAUUAUUAGCAAAUCUUCAUUAUUUAAAAUCAUUAAUUACUAUAUAUAUCAUAACCACAUUAGGUAAUUUCGUAGGUUUUAUUUAAGGAAAUAAUAUAUAAUAAAUAGCCACCUUGUUUUAGUUAAUAUCAUAUGAUAUCAUAUAGUUGGUAUUAAAUGUUUCUAGUGAGAUAUAAAAAUCUAAUUGGACCAACGUGUUUAUCAAUUUCAAUGUGAAGCUGACACGUAUGACUAAUUAAGUACCUAAUUGAUUGACACAUAAGCAAUGAAUCUUUUUUAAUUAUUACAAAAUUGAGGUUACAUCUUUUCAAAUGUUCCUCAAUUAAUAUAGGGGAUUAAGUAUAGUCAUAAACCACAUUCAAAUAAAAAUCAACUUAUAUAGCUCGUCUCGUAGGUAUCUCGGUUUAACCUUAAACUCGACGAAUGAAAAGAUAACAAAUCAUCAUGGAAAAAAGCCCUCACCUUCGCUUAAGAGACGAAUUAUAAGAUGGGGAAUUUUCAUAUGGAGAAGACGCGAGGGGUGUUGUCCCAUCAGCAAUGAUGGCUGAUUAGAGUAAUGUCACGGUGGUUCAGGAUGGGAGUGAAGCUACGAUUUCAGGAUUGAGUAGCGUGACACGCAAGAGGCUUGAUUCACCUCCUUGUAGCUCGUCCAUGGCAAGGAUCUAGGCUAACCGCGGCAACUAAGGUGGCCUAACGAGUUGGGAUGUAGGGGUUUUGAUGACGGCCCAUGGUUUAGUGACUUGCGGUGCAAGUCUGAUCAGUUUUGCUUUUUAACCAUGGACUCCUUGAGGCGAGGGGAAGCAGCUCUAGCGUUUUGAGAUUGAAGCCUCUCAGCUUGCUUCCUCUUCUUGGCUCAGUUGAGGCGACGUGAUGGAUGGACAUGGCAGUUCAAGGAGGUGUCAGCAGCGUUAAGGUUUCUAGCUAGAUCUAGGCUUUUGUUUGUCUCUUGGCUUUGGAGAAGUGAUCAUGUCUAUUUAUACACGUCCAAGGCUUUAGAAGAAAGGAAAGAUCAAAUUUAGGCAACAGACAAGACUUUACUAAAACAAACCGGUUCAGAAGAAAACUAAGUGGUGUAGGAGGGAGGGGGUGGGAAUCGAGAUAGUUGUAUUAGAUAAUGACAUUCUACCCCCAUGAGUACUCUAUGAAAUAUUCACAUCACAAAGAAUCACAUCGUGUACGCCGGUGUGGGUGAGUUUCAUAUAUCAAUUUACAUCACAUAGAGAAGAAAAGUUCAACCCAUAAUGUACUUUUCGUUGUUUUUUUGUUGUCUUAACCCUCAAGCUCCAGUUUAGCGUUGUAAUAUAUUCUGGUGCAGUAAUUCACAAGACCUUGCUGUGGGAUUUUGAAAAAUGUCCCAAAUUGGGAAGAGCAAAGAGUUUGCAACGCUAAUGUCUCUACAGUCUGGCCAAUAACAUUUGCUUAAAAGUGUAAAACGAAUCUUUGCCUCAAUGAGUUUCUUUCUAUAGUUAUUUUCUUCUAGUUUUUUUUUGUCGAAGUUUCAUUCAUAUAAUGAUGCAAGUCAAAUGAUUUGGGAGGUAACCAACAUGAAAAACAGAGUAAACAAAGUAUCAUGAAGACAGGUCUGGCCCAGACCAAUUAUGGGGUCGAAGAAAAAGAAGAAAAUAAUUGAGCUUAUUACGGCCCUGUUCGUUUCUCUAUUAAGACGCUGCAUCUGGAUAUUAGCAUUGUUGUCCAUUUAGACACUAUGUCACUAUAAUGCAGAAUUCAAAUGUAGCAUAUAUAAUAUCUUGCACAGGUUUUAGAGCUUCAUUGACUUUGAUCGGCGACCAUCACAAACCCGCUUUGGUAAAGUAUCGAGCUUCAUUGAAAGUUGAGGAUGCAGCGGUGAUGAGGACAUGGAGUUUUGGGUCUCCCAACCCAAUUAACCAGACAAGCCAGCGACGCGGAUGUCGGCUCCGGGAUUAUGACUAGAGACUCGUCCGUGUAUCUUUCUCCUGUGUUGAGUCCGGAGAGGCGAAGUAACCCGUAUGUGUAUCAUUUGAAAAUGUAGUAGAGUAGUUUUAGUCGUAUGGAUUUUAUUCAAUUCAUCGUUGGUAGUCUAAAGUUUUUUUUUUUGUAAAUUUUUUUUUUUAAGUUAACAUAGUGUUAAAGCUCCACUUUAUCACACAUAUAAAUGAUUUGUUUCCCUUGAAUGAGCUCACGCGAGUAAUGUACAUUACAAAAUACCACAAAAAAAAAAAACACUCCCAUCAAACCUAAGUAUUACACAACUAACAUUACUUAAAAUAAUUCUAGCUAGUUAAAUCACAUAAGCACACAAGUAUUUGGUUCUUCCACCACAACUCUAGAAUUCCCGUAUGGCUGAUAGUGCGAAUUCGCAUAGGACGAAUAAUAUUGGUACGGGUAGUUCAUAUCCGUAACUGGAAAAGCAACAAUUUCAGCUGGUUUAGCCGUAUCAGGUUUAGCUGGAGCCGGUUUCGCUGGUUCAGGCUUUUUCUCAGGUGGUUUAACAACUUCAACCGAAACGAUUUCUGCAUUACACAGUUUCCUUAGCUUCAUCACGAGAACCGGUGUAUCAACUUCUCCAACUACUGUCAUUUUCCCUGUUUUGUCAUCCAUUGUUAUCGAAGUAACCCCUUGAGAUCGAGAG
RNAcentral lists this long non-coding RNA (8958 nucleotides) under Brassica napus (rape). RNAcentral describes it as "long non-coding RNA (BNAP_LNC019808)". Lineage: Eukaryota; Viridiplantae; Streptophyta; Magnoliopsida; Brassicales; Brassicaceae. The record is from RNAcentral.